UUGGAGGGCAAGUCUGGUGCCAGCAGCCGCGGUAAUUCCAGCUCCAAUAGCGUAUAUCAAAGUUGUUGCAGUUAAAAAGCUCGUAGUUGAACUUCGGGGUCUACCCAUUGGUCAGGCUUAAUUGUCUGCACUGGUGAGAUGGAUCUCUACCUUCUGAGGAACUUUCAUGCCCUUUAUUUGGUGUGGUUGGAAAUCAGGACUGUUACUUUGAAAAAAUUAGAGUGUUUAAAGCAGACUAUCGUCUGAAUACAUUAGCAUGGAAUAACGAAAUAGGACGGACUGAUUCUAUUUCGUUGGUUUCUAGGAUCACCGUAAUGAUUAAUAGGGAUAGUUGGGGGCAUUAGUAUUCAAUUGUCAGAGGUGAAAUUCUUGGAUUUAUUGAAGACUAACUACUGCGAAAGCAUUUGCCAAGGAUGUUUUCAUUAAUCAAGAACGAAAGUUAGGGGAUCGAAGACGAUCAGAUACCGUCGUAGUCUUAACCAUAAACUAUGCCGACUAGGGAUCGGACGAAGUUAAUUUUAUAAUGACGCGUUCGGCACCUUACGGGAAACCAAAGUGUUUGGGUUC
RNAcentral lists this ribosomal RNA (567 nucleotides) under uncultured Glomeromycotina. RNAcentral describes it as "SSU rRNA". It matches the Rfam family "Eukaryotic small subunit ribosomal RNA", at positions 548 to 1114 of the family's 1831-position model. The record is from RNAcentral. Lineage: Eukaryota; Fungi; Glomeromycota.